GAUGAACGCUGGCGGCGUGCCUAAUACAUGCAAGUCGAGCGAACAGACGAGUAGCUUGCUCCUCUGACGUUAUCAGCGGACGGGUGAGUAACACUUGGGUGACCUACCUCUAGGACUGGGAUAGCUUCGGGACACCCGCGCUAAUACGGGAAAAUAUAUUGAACCACAUGGUUCCAUAGUGAAAGACGGUUUUGCUUGCACUUAUAGAUGGAUCCGCGCCGCAUUAGCUAGUUGGUGAGGUAACGGCUUACCAAGGCUGCGAUGCGUAGCCGACCUGAGGGGGAGGACGGCCAGAUUGUAACAGAGACACGGCGCCGACACCUACGGGAGGCAGCAGUACGGAAUCUUCCGCAAUGGGCGAAAGCCUGAUGGAGCAAAGCCGCGUGAGUGAUGAAGGUCUCAGGACCGUAAAACUCUGUUAGUAGUGAAGAACAAAUGUGCAAGUAACUAGGCACGUCUUGACGGUACCUACACAGAAAGCCACGGCUAACUCCGUG
Molecule: ribosomal RNA, 497 nt
Filed under: uncultured bacterium
Lineage: Bacteria
Description: partial 16S ribosomal RNA
Rfam family: Bacterial small subunit ribosomal RNA
Source: RNAcentral